This is a small nucleolar RNA of Prunus dulcis (almond), 142 nucleotides long. RefSeq annotates it as small nucleolar RNA snoR137. The record is from RefSeq and is a predicted model, not a curated record. Lineage: Eukaryota; Viridiplantae; Streptophyta; Magnoliopsida; Rosales; Rosaceae. The transcript has a single exon.
GUUGCUUCUUAUGGUGAACUCCCUGUAAAUUUUGUUGGGUUGGGGAUGUUCAAGUUUCCGAAGCAUAGAUCAAAUUGCCAGUAUUAAACAGCACCAUGCAUGCUAUUUGGUUGCACUGUGUUACCUGUCUCCUGGUACAUGU